ACUCCUACGGGAGGCAGCAGUGGGGAAUCUUGCGCAAUGGGCGAAAGCCUGACGCAGCCAUGCCGCGUGAAUGAUGAAGGUCUUAGGAUUGUAAAAUUCUUUCACCGGGGACGAUAAUGACGGUACCCGGAGAAGAAGCCCCGGCUAACUUCGUGCCAGCAGCCGCGGUAAUACGAAGGGGCUAGCGUUGCUCGGAAUUACUGGGCGUAAAGGGAGCGUAGGCGGACAUUUAAGUCAGGGGUGAAAUCCCGGGGCUCAACCUCGGAAUUGCCUUUGAUACUGGGUGUCUUGAGUGUGAGAGAGGUAUGUGGAACUCCGAGUGUAGAGGUGAAAUUCGUAGAUAUUCGGAAGAACACCAGUGGCGAAGGCGACAUACUGGCUCAUUACUGACGCUGAGGCUCGAAAGCGUGGGAGCAAACAGGAUUAGAUACCCUGGUAGCGACUGA
RNAcentral lists this ribosomal RNA (446 nucleotides) under uncultured bacterium. Its description in RNAcentral is "bacterial SSU rRNA". It matches the Rfam family "Bacterial small subunit ribosomal RNA", at positions 335 to 803 of the family's 1533-position model. The record is from RNAcentral.